AGAGUUUGAUCAUGGCUCAGAUUGAACGCUGGCGGCGUGCCUAACACAUGCAAGUCGAGCGGUAACAGGUGUAGCAAUACAUGCUGACGAGCGGCGAACGGGUGAGUAAUGCUUCGGAAUCUACCUUAUGGUGGGGAAUAACUAGCCGAAAGGUUAGCUAAUACCGCAUACGUCCUACGGGAGAAAGCAGGGGAUCGCAAGACCUUGCGCCAAAAGAUGAGCCGAAGUCGGAUUAGCUAGUUGGUAGGGUAACGGCCUACCAAGGCGACGAUCCGUAGCUGGUCUGAGAGGACGACCAGCCACACUGGGACUGAGACACGGCCCAGACUCCUACGGGAGGCAGCAGUGGGGAAUAUUGGACAAUGGGGGAAACCCUGAUCCAGCGACGCCGCGUGUGUGAAGAAGGCCUGCGGGUUGUAAAGCACUUUUAGUGGGGAUGAAAUGUGCAGGGCUAACACCUCUGCAUUUUGACCUAACCCACAGAAAAAGCACCGGCUAACUCUGUGCCAGCAGCCGCGGUAAUAC
RNAcentral lists this ribosomal RNA (525 nucleotides) under uncultured bacterium. RNAcentral's name for it is "bacterial SSU rRNA". It matches the Rfam family "Bacterial small subunit ribosomal RNA", at positions 8 to 526 of the family's 1533-position model. The record is from RNAcentral.